This 498-nucleotide ribosomal RNA is filed under the name uncultured bacterium. RNAcentral's name for it is "partial 16S ribosomal RNA". It matches the Rfam family "Bacterial small subunit ribosomal RNA", at positions 30 to 523 of the family's 1533-position model. The record is from RNAcentral.
AUUGAACGCUGGCGGCAUGCCUUACACAUGCAAGUCGAACGGUAACAGGUCUUCGGAUGCUGACGAGUGGCGAACGGGUGAGUAAUACAUCGGAACGUGCCUAGUAGUGGGGGACAACUACUCGAAAGAGUGGCUAAUACCGCAUGAGAUCUACGGAUGAAAGCAGGGGAUCGCAAGACCUUGUGCUACUAGAGCGGCCGAUGGCAGAUUAGGUAGUUGGUGGGAUAAAAGCUUACCAAGCCGACGAUCAGUAGCUGGUCUGAGAGGACGAUCAGCCACACUGGGACUGAGACACGGCCCAGACUCCUACGGGAGGCAGCAGUGGGGAAUUUUGGACAAUGGGCGCAAGCCUGAUCCAGCAAUGCCGCGUGCAGGAUGAAGGCCUUCGGGUUGUAAACUGCUUUUGUACGGAACGAAAAGCCCCGGGUUAAUACCCUGGGGUCAUGACGGUACCGUAAGAAUAAGCACCGGCUAACUACGUGCCAGCCGCCGCAGUAA